AUUGAACGCUGGCGGCAUGCCUUACACAUGCAAGUCGAACGGUAACGGGUCCUUCGGGAUGCCGACGAGUGGCGAACGGGUGAGUAAUAUAUCGGAACGUGCCCAGUAGUGGGGGAUAACUGCUCGAAAGAGCAGCUAAUACCGCAUACGACCUGAGGGUGAAAGGGGGGGAUCGCAAGACCUCUCGCUAUUGGAGCGGCCGAUAUCAGAUUAGCUAGUUGGUGGGGUAAAGGCCCACCAAGGCAACGAUCUGUUGUUGGUCUGAGAGGACGACCAGCAACACUGGGACUGAGACACGGCCCAGACUCCUACGGGAGGCGGCAGUGGGGAAUUUUGGACAAUGGGCGCAAGCCCGAUCCAGCAAUGCCGCGUGCAGGAAGAAGGCCUUCGGGUUGUAAACUGCUUUUGUCAGGGAAGAAAUCUUCUGGGCUAAUACCCCGGGAGGAUGACGGUACCUGAAGAAUAAGCACCGGCUAACUACGUGCCAGCAGCCGCCGUAA
This 500-nucleotide ribosomal RNA is filed under the name uncultured bacterium. Its description in RNAcentral is "partial 16S ribosomal RNA". It matches the Rfam family "Bacterial small subunit ribosomal RNA", at positions 30 to 523 of the family's 1533-position model. The record is from RNAcentral.